GACGAACGCUGGCGGCAGGCCUAACACAUGCAAGUCGAGCGGAGCGGCGGACGGGUGAGUAAUGACUAGGAAUCUGCCUGGUCGUGGGGGAUAAAGUCCUGAUACGAGCGCUAAUACCGCAUACUAGCAGAUGAGCCUAGGUCGGAUUGGCUAGUUGGUGGGGAAAAGGCCUACAAAGGCGACGAUCCGUAACUGGUCUGAGUGGAUGAUCAGUCACACUGGAACUGAGACACGGUCCAGACUCCUACGGGAGGCAGCAGUGGGGAAUAUUGGACAAUGGGCGAAAGCCUGAUCCAGCCAUGCGGGGGGUGUGAAGAAGGUCUUCGGAUUGUAAAGUACUUUAAGUCGGGAGGCGUUACCAACAGAAUAAGCACCGGCUAACUUCGUGCCAGCAGCCGCGGUAAUAC
RNAcentral lists this ribosomal RNA (407 nucleotides) under uncultured bacterium. Its description in RNAcentral is "partial 16S ribosomal RNA". It matches the Rfam family "Bacterial small subunit ribosomal RNA", at positions 28 to 526 of the family's 1533-position model. The record is from RNAcentral.